Topomyia yanbarensis is the source of this 1855-nucleotide long non-coding RNA. RefSeq lists it as uncharacterized. NCBI's taxonomy places the organism in Eukaryota, Metazoa, Arthropoda, Insecta, Diptera, Culicidae. The transcript has 3 exons. The record is from RefSeq and is a predicted model, not a curated record.
AAAGGAGCGAAGAUUUUUUGCUCCUGUUUACUCCGGAGUGACUUCAGUGUACUGGAACAAACCUAUUAAUGUCAAUGGCAGGGUGGCCAGACCUACCGAUUUAUCGGUAGUCCUACCGAUUUUGGUCUUCCCUACCGAUACCGAUUCACAGACGACCAAGGCAAAACUACCGAUAUUUUGUUAUUCCUACCGAAAACUACCGACUUUUAAUGAUUUUGGGCACAUCCUACUCAACAUACAUUUUUUGGGUUGGAUUUGGUCUGAGAUCUGUGUUGUCAGUAUUUUACAAUUCUAUGUCAAUACUACGUUUUUGGGACAACAACCCGGCCUACCGAUGACUACCGAUAAACUUUUAGUGACCCUACCGAUAUUAAAGAAUUCAAUCUGGCCACCCUUGUCAAUGGUUUCGGAAGUUCUGCAAUGACACGCAGGAGCGAAUCAUUCAGCUUUAUUCCAAUUAAAGUGCCUUGGUCAUGCCGUGUUGCUUGAAAUAGCCAAACUGGAAAAUUUAACUAUUUGUGAUUGAUUUUCUUUCAUAUCGAGACAAUGCAGUGUGGCCUACGAGAUGCAUAUUGGUAUUGACUUUGGUGAUACAUAACUUAUCCGUGGUUCUGAAAUCUGGGUCCACGUCGUAUGCAACGAAGUAUGUAUGCCGUUUGAAUAAAAAGCAAUGUACACUUGCAACAUCAGAAUCUCAUUACGGUAGAUGUUUUUUUUUGCGAUAUGAGCAAAUAACUUGCGAUGCUUAUUGAUGUAUCAACCUGGGACGGGACAUGCGAGGUAAAAAAAGUAAAUAGCGAAAACCGGCAACGGCCUACCAUUGCGAACCGUACCUUUCUUGAUGAAAUGAAUUUCAUUUUCUUUAAAUGGAUAGUAUCUACUUAGGUAUCGUUUACAUCCAGGUGUUUACAGAAAAUAUUUUUUACAGAUUCAGAUUUAUGUAGGUAUAUACAGAGAAACAUUGUAUUAUUCUGUUCAACAAUUGUGCUUUACAGAACUCCUACAAACAAUAAAAUAAUUCAUGUCAUGCCUAAGCUAUGUGGCUCUCGGCAGAAACCUGUACAGAAUCGGCACAGCACUAUCGUGGAUAUUCGGUUGAAAUUACUUUGCAAGUAAUUUCUUUUUCUGUAAAAUAAAUACCGGGAGUAGACCGCUUUUGCAUGUCCCGUCCCACUUAUUAACCAAAUUCAAUAAAUUUCUACAAAAAAUAUAUCGCUUUAAUGUUCUAUUUCUACCCAUCAAAACAAAUUUGCUGAUGAACUUUAUGAGAAAAAUUUUGAAAACGACCAGCCGGUAGGAUUACCGAUUUUGAACAUACCUACAUAUUCGCAGGGGAAGGCUCACCUGAUUACAAUCACUAACUUCCGCUGAAAAUCUUUAUCAUUAUCAUUAAAUUAAAUGCAAAUGAAUAAAUUCAGGUACAAUCUAUAUACGAAUAUAUAUUUAGGCCUUAAUUGCAUUGACAAUCACCUAAGGUGUCAUCUAUGAAGAGAAAUCAAGAAAGUUGCCCGACAAAAAUGUUGCUCCGUGUAAAUAAGUAGUGGCAACUGUGUCCUAGCUAAAUGUUGCUCGUUGCCUCGUGAGCAGACUACUUAACUCUGCGAAUAAUAUUAGAAACCACUAUAUUUUACACCCUUUUCGCAAAAUUCUUAUAAAAUGAUAGUUUUCCUUCGUUUUCGUAAGCAAUUAUCAACAAAUUUAAAGGUGAUAUGUUGUUUAAAAGUUAGUUUUUUACCACAGUUUAUAGAAAAUAUAUCCACUAUGACAACAAAAUGAAAUCAGAAACACUUUACUUCUAGCACUAUCUGUGAACGUUUUCAACGUAUAAUCGCCAAUCCUUAGAUAACAAAUAUUU